CCUACGUGGGGCAGCAGUGAGGUAUAUUGGUCAAUGGACGAGAGUCUGAACCAGCCAAGUCGCGUGAAGGAUGACUGCCCAAUGGAUUGUAAACUUCUUUUAUAUGGGAAUAAAAUGUUCCACGUGUGCGCUGUUGUAUGUACCAUAUGAAUAAGGAUCGGCUAACUCCGUGCCAGCAGCCGCGGUAAUACGGAGGAUCCGAGCGUUAUCCGGAUUUAUUGGGUUUAAAGGGAGCGUCGGUGGAUUGUUAAGUCAGUUGUGAAAGUUUGCGGCUCAACCGUAAAAUUGCAGUUGAAACGGGCAGUCUUGAGUAGAGUAGAGGUGGGCGGAAUGCGUGGUGUAGCGGUGAAAUGCUUAGAUAUCACGAAGAACUCCGAUUGCGAAGGCAGCUCACUGGACUGCAACUGACACUGAGGCUCGAAAGUGUGGGUAUCAAACAGGAUUAGAUACCCGAGUAGUC
RNAcentral lists this ribosomal RNA (460 nucleotides) under uncultured bacterium. RNAcentral's name for it is "partial 16S ribosomal RNA". It matches the Rfam family "Bacterial small subunit ribosomal RNA", at positions 338 to 795 of the family's 1533-position model. The record is from RNAcentral.